This 446-nucleotide ribosomal RNA is filed under the name uncultured bacterium. RNAcentral's name for it is "partial 16S ribosomal RNA". It matches the Rfam family "Bacterial small subunit ribosomal RNA", at positions 338 to 795 of the family's 1533-position model. The record is from RNAcentral.
CCUACGGGGUGCAGCAGUCGAGAAUCAUUCACAAUGGGGGAAACCCUGAUGGUGCGACGCCGCGUGGGGGAAUGAAGGUCUUCGGAUUGUAAACCCCUGUCAUGUGGGAGCAAAUUAAAAAGAUAGUACCACAAGAGGAAGAGACGGCUAACUCUGUGCCAGCAGCCGCGGUAAUACAGAGGUCUCAAGCGUUGUUCGGAAUCACUGGGCGUAAAGCGUGCGAAGGCUGUUUCGUAAGUCGUGUGUGAAAGGCGCGGGCUCAACCCGCGGACGGCACAUGAUACUGCGAGACUAGAGUAAGGGAGGGGGAACCGGAAUUCUCGGUGUAGCAGUGAAAUGCGUAGAUAUCGAGAGGAACACUCGUGGCGAAGGCGGGUUCCUGGACAUUAACUGACGCUGAGGCACGAAGGCCAGGGGAGCGAAAGGGAUUAGAUACCCGUGUAGUC